GAGAAGAUUGGCUUAGAUUACCUCUAAGGCGCCUUCCAGAGCUAAUAGCCGGUGACGAUCUGAUAAGAAGGCAGAAAGGUAACAAGAUCCGCCGCCCGCAGAACUCAGGGAAAGGCUUCCUGUGGCUGUCUCCAGUUCCUCUUCUGCCCUUCUCUCCUGAACUCACUCCAAUCGGCCGCCCUGCCCUUCCCUAAACUGCUUCUGCCAAGGUCACCAAGACCUCCAGCUAUGGAAGUCUGGAGCGACGACUCAAGUGUCUUCCUCGCCCCAGGGCACCGCUGACUUCCUCCCAGCCCCACCUUCACAGGCUCCUCUGCUGGUUCUUGUCACAGUCCCAGCCUCCUCCAUGGGAGUGCCCCAGUAUCCUUCUCUCCUCUAGCUGCUCUCCCUGGGGGGAUGUCCCACAGCCCACGGCUUGUGUACCUUCCACACAGUGAUGACUCCCAAAUGUGUGUCUCUGGCACCAACCUCCUUCCUGAGCUCCAACCUAUGGAGUCAGCUGCCCACCCAGCAUCUCCACCUGAACUUGCGCUAGAAACCCCUCACUUAAUACGCACAGCCUGCCUUUCCACCGUCUCCCUCCUCUCAGACAGCUGCAUUCUCCAGGAGGUCGGGUCCAGAACCUUGGCAUCUUCCUGGACCCCUCUCGUCCUCUCACAUCCCAUUCAUCGGCAUUGGCUGGAUCAUCCCCUCCACAGGCGUCUCUGUCUGGAUGGGCACUGGCCUUCAACCGGUCUCCCUAAACUUUCUUGGUGCUAGAAGAAUCAUUCAUCUUUGUACGAAUUGCCCCGCUCAGUCCUCGCAUGUCCCAAAAGGCUAGUAUUCCCACACAUCUACCUGCCCCCAUCACGGCUUCUCCCACUCACCCUUCACAAGCGCAGAGGAAAUAUUUUUGCUGGCAGCAGCUGUCCCUUAGCAUUUCUUAGCACACAAAAGAAAACCCCUGCCCAGUUUCUGACGUCAUCAGGCUCUGGUACAAAAGGAAAAUCAGAUAAUCCUAUCAGUUUGCUCCAGAGGGGAAAAAAGCGGAAAGUGGAUGGAAACAAGUUGAACCGCGUCACUGGUAU
This 1067-nucleotide long non-coding RNA is filed under the name Equus asinus (donkey). Its description in RNAcentral is "lncRNA (ENSEASG00005034311.1)". The record is from RNAcentral. Lineage: Eukaryota; Metazoa; Chordata; Mammalia; Perissodactyla; Equidae.